Molecule: long non-coding RNA, 3004 nt
Organism: Canis lupus familiaris (dog)
Lineage: Eukaryota; Metazoa; Chordata; Mammalia; Carnivora; Canidae
Exons: 5
Source: RefSeq, a predicted model, not a curated record
AUGAAUGGGGGGUGGGGCACUUGUGGGCAGAGACGGAGGGCAGGAAGGAGGUCGCUCUAUCACCUCAAGGCUUGUGGAGAGCUGAUUUCAUGGACUACUGGGAAGAGAAGUCGUACCCUCUUUCUCCAGUGGUCAUUAGCUUCCAGCCCCUUCUAUGGCCUGAAGCUAUGUCAGUUCACACAAAGCAAUCAGGAAUACCUGCAGUUUUCAACCUGGAGAACUGAAAACAUUCCCCAGCAUGCUGCCAGCAUGAAGAAGCUCUGUAAUUACAGACGUGCAGGGGCUUGUGUUCCUGACCUCACUCAUCGAUGAAACACUUCCGUCCCCUUCACUUCCCAUGGUGUCUUUAUCGAGGAAGUGUAAAGCUGGGUCCUUCAGAAAAAGAAAUGAAGAGAAUCUUGAGGUUCUUGUAAAGAUCAAGUGUCCAGCUGCUGUGGAUGUCGGCUGCUAUACUCAGGGAAAGUGGCAUAGAAAAUGGGUUUUCUGCGUGUGUGGAACAGGGCAAAGGAAGCUAACUGGUAAGAGGAUUCUUCUCCCAACUCCAGCCCAGGAUCCUGUGGAAAAGCUGCAUUAUAAUCGAUAGCCUCAUAAAUAAAUAAAUAGUCAACGCAUCCUGUCUCCAGUUCAGGGCUUCUUUAGGAAAAUCGAACCCCGACCCACUUCUGCUUGCUCAUUCUGGAUUUCUAUGGAGGCUUCCAGUGGGAAGAAACUCUUAAAAGUCAUUUUGGGCAUUCCUCUGCUUCAGGGCUGGCCUGCCAUCAGUCAUGACCUGAAGGAAAGAAUUAGGAGGCUGAGGGUAACUAGAAGAAGCUGAGAAUUCCUCUGCUCUGCUCUGCUCUGCUCUGCCUCAGCAAGAGGAGGGGACAGGAGGAGGAGGGGAGCAGGGAAGGCCAGUGGCUCUCAUUCCAAAGGAGGAACUGUUCCAGCUCCUAGAAUAAGUGAAAGAGUGCAGGCCAAAGAUGGAAGGGGAAGACAACUGUAGGGCCCCACGGAGUCCCUGGGAAGGAUGUCAGGAGACUGGGUCCCCUAUCUGGACUUGCUCUGGGGUGAGGGGGAGGGCUCACAUUUAUUAAAUGCUUGUUCUAUGCCAGGCACUAUGCUAAGGACUAUUGUAGUAUGAAUGCAGUUUGCAUAAGGGCUGGGAGCAUGGCCUAAGUGACAUGUGACUGUGUUCAAACCCAACUUUGCUACUCACUAGCUCUGUGACCUUGAGUAAGUUACUUAACCUCUCUGUGCCUCAGUUUCUUCAUUAAUAAAAUGGGAAUAACAGUACCUACCUGGUAAAGUCAUUUGAAGAUUAAGUGUAUUUACAUACAAAAGCUCUUAACAUAGUAUCUGCCAGGUAGAAAGAUAAGUUUUUGCUGUUAUUCCUUUGUUGAAUCCUCACACAAAGCUCUGAAGUAGCUACUAAUCUCUGAGGCUCAAAGAAAUCAAAUGACUUGCCCGAGGUCCUGGGUCCACUUGACAGCCUGGGUGCCCCCUCCUAAGAUUCCCUCUCUCGGGGGAAGCAGCUUCAGAACCCGCCAGCUCCCACCCCAGGUCCACCCCAGUCUGGAAACUCCGUGGCUGCUUCAGCAGCUGCAAGAACAAAGAUGGAUCUCUACUGUGCCUGUGAGGCCUGGCACGCCUCUUGGGGAGGAGGUCCCCCCAUCCUCUGUGGCAGCACCCUGACGCCUCAGCCUGCCCCCCUGCCCCGGGCCUCCCCUGGAGCCUCCCACCUCCCAGCACAGUCUCCCCUGCUCGUGCAAGACGCCGGCUGCCAGCCUGGAGGAUAAACAAACUGGCGCUCUGGCCCAGCCCUCUGCUGGCGGGCGGUUCCCCGCCCCCCUCGAGCCGCAGUGCACAGUCGCUCUGUUCUCCUGCCAACUUGGCAGCGCGGCUCUGCUGUUACUAUCAACACCUCCAAGGGAAGAGGGAGAGGAGUGAGUUCUAUCGCCUGGCACACUGAGCAGCAAAUACGUGUCAGAGCCAGCCCGGAGUGUCUCCCUGGCUCCCGGGGCUCCUGGUGGAGAAGGAAAGGUGGGCCAGAGCAGAGAGGCCCUGACUGCAAGCCAGCACCCCCCGCACAGCCCCUGGGAGCCGGCAGCUGGGAGAGAAAGGGCCACAGAGGGUGCCCUGAGGCCUGGAACCACGCUGCCUGGGACCUACCCCACCCCAGUGCUUGCCACAGGCCAGGGGGGCUGAUAGCUUGAUCCUGGACGUGGCUGGUGGAGGGUGGGGCAGCCUAUGGCCAGGAGAGAAGAAACGAGUCUUUUCUCUGCAGACUGGGAAGCCCUGGACUGUGUGGCCGUGCCUUCUCUCAUCUCUCUUGGACUUACGUGCAGUGAGCCCCUUCCCCCUUGUAGAACUGGAUUGGGAGCCCUUAAGGGGCCACACGUCCCCACUGAAUGGAAACUGCACAGGCAGAAACCACAUUUCCUUUUCCCAACCCUCUCCCCCAGGCUCUCAGGCCCUGCCCCCAUGGGCUCCCUAAAGCGGCUGAUACCCGUCUCAGCUCCUGCCGGAGUCCUGGGGCCCCUUUUGGAAGAAGAAAGAGCCCCUAUUUCCAAGGACCCAGUGCUCCACCUCCAGCAAUGCUGGCCCACAGCACAGGGUCUACAUCAAGUCACCUGCCCCUGACAGGAUGGAGGGUGGUCACCUCGCAGCCUCUCCCAGGAAGAAUUGCUUUCAUAGCUUUCUUGUGAAAGGGAAGGCCUUUGUGUCCUGCUUUGGGCAUCAACAAAGGUGGCAGGUUCAGGGAAACCUCCUAACCCUUACACCACGCUGCCAGCUAGUCUACCCACAGCUGAGUUGUAUGCUCACAGUCUAUGUGCUGUCAGCCUGUCUCCUCCCCAGUAACAGAGCAAUAACCUUUCCUAAUCCAUGAGCCGAUGGUGAUAAAGACACGUAGAUGGUGCUUAUGUUUCUAGGGCUGUGCCUGGCACUUGGAAUCAGUAUGUUUUCCUUCCUUCUUUCCUACUUUCAUACCUCCCCACCCCCUUCCCUCAUUUCUUUCUCUGCUCCC